CUGGGCGUAAGUGUUGCGUAGGCUGAUUAGCGCAUUUUGCUUAAAAGGCCGUGGCUCAACCACGGUUUUGGGCAAAAUAUGGCUAAUCUUGUAGGAUAGAGAGGGUACUGGAACAGAUCAUGUAGCAGUGAAAUGCGUUGAUAUGAUCUGGAACACCGAAGGCGUAGGCAGGUACCUGGCUAUCUCUAGACGCUGAGGCACGAAAGCUUGGGGAGCGAAGCAGAUUAGAGACCUGCGUAGUCCAAGCCGUAAACGAUGGAUGCUAGAUGGAAGGAGUUUUCUUUCUGUCGCAAGGUAACCCGUUAAGCAUCCCGCCUGGGGAGUACGAGCGCAAGCUUAAAACUCAAAGGAAUUGACGGGGAGGCGCACAAGCAGUGGAGCGUGUUGUUUAAUUCGAUACAAAGCGAAAAACCUCACCAGGGUUUGACAUGCAGAUGCUAAUCCGGCGAAAGCCGGACUCCUUCGAGGGUUCUACACAGAUGCUGCAUGGCUGUCGUCAGCUCGUGGCGUGAGCUGUACCGUUAAGUCGGGUAACGAGCGCAACCCGCACCGUAUGUUAGAUAAUUCAUGCGGAACAGCCCGGCUUUGCCGGGAGGAAGGCGCGGAUGACGUCAAGUCAGCACGGCUC
Molecule: ribosomal RNA, 628 nt
Filed under: uncultured bacterium
Lineage: Bacteria
Description: bacterial SSU rRNA
Rfam family: Bacterial small subunit ribosomal RNA
Source: RNAcentral